Molecule: ribosomal RNA, 497 nt
Filed under: uncultured bacterium
Lineage: Bacteria
Description: partial 16S ribosomal RNA
Rfam family: Bacterial small subunit ribosomal RNA
Source: RNAcentral
UAUGCACGCUGGCGGCGUGCCUAAUACAUGCAAGUCGAGCGAACAGACGAGGAGCUUGCUCCUCUGACGUUAGCGGCGGACGGGUGAGUAACACGUGGAUAACCUACCUAUAAGACUGGGAUAACUUCGGGAAACCGGAGCUAAUACCGGAUAAUAUAUUGAACCGCAUGGUUCAAUAGUGAAAGACGGUUUUGCUGUCACUUAUAGAUGGAUCCGCGCCGCAUUAGCUUGUUGGUAAGGUAACGGCUUACCAAGGCAACGAUGCGUAGCCGACCUGAGAGGGUGAGCGGCCACACUGGAACUGAGACACGGUCCAGACUCCUACGGGAGGCAGCAGUAGGGAAUCUUCCGCAAUGGGCGAAAGCCUGACGUAGCAACGCCGCGUGAGUGAUGAAGGUCUUCGGAUCGUAAAACUCUGUUAUUAUGGAAGAACAAAUGUGUAAGUAACUAUGCACGUCUUGACGGUACCUAAUCAGAAAGCCACGGCUAACUACGUG